RNAcentral lists this ribosomal RNA (250 nucleotides) under uncultured bacterium. RNAcentral's name for it is "partial 16S ribosomal RNA". It matches the Rfam family "Bacterial small subunit ribosomal RNA", at positions 524 to 773 of the family's 1533-position model. The record is from RNAcentral.
UACGAAGGGGGCUAGCGUUGCUCGGAUUUACUGGGCGUAAAGGGUGCGUAGGCGGAUUGGUAAGUUGGAGGUGAAAGCCCAGGGCUCAACCCUGGAAUUGCCUUCAAAACUGCUAGUCUUGAGUUUGGGAGAGGUAAGUGGAAUUCCGAGUGUAGAGGUGAAAUUCGUAGAUAUUCGGAAGAACACCAGUGGCGAAGGCGACUUACUGGACCAAUACUGACGCUGAGGCACGAAAGCGUGGGGAGCAAAC